GGGCUUGUAGCUCAGUUGGUUAGAGCGCGCGCUUGAUAAGCGUGAGGUCGGAGAUUCAAGUCCUCCCAGGCCCACCA
Molecule: transfer RNA, 77 nt
Filed under: Bartonella krasnovii
Lineage: Bacteria; Pseudomonadati; Pseudomonadota; Alphaproteobacteria; Hyphomicrobiales; Bartonellaceae
Description: tRNA-Ile
Rfam family: tRNA
About the family: Transfer RNA (tRNA) molecules are approximately 80 nucleotides in length. Their secondary structure includes four short double-helical elements and three loops (D, anti-codon, and T loops). Further hydrogen bonds mediate the characteristic L-shaped molecular structure. tRNAs have two regions of fundamental functional importance: the anti-codon, which is responsible for specific mRNA codon recognition, and the 3' end, to which the tRNAs corresponding amino acid is attached (by aminoacyl-tRNA synthetases). tRNAs cope with the degeneracy of the genetic code in two manners: having more than one tRNA (with a specific anti-codon) for a particular amino acid; and 'wobble' base-pairing, i.e. permitting non-standard base-pairing at the 3rd anti-codon position.
Source: RNAcentral